Long non-coding RNA from Tupaia belangeri chinensis (Chinese tree shrew), 1647 nucleotides. RefSeq lists it as uncharacterized. Lineage: Eukaryota; Metazoa; Chordata; Mammalia; Scandentia; Tupaiidae. The record is from RefSeq and is a predicted model, not a curated record. The transcript has 5 exons.
CCGAGGGCGGCGGGGCGGGCGCGCGCUGCGGCGGGCUCGCUGGGGCAGGUGGGGCGGCUCGCCCGGGAGCAGGGAGGAGCCAGGUCGGCGCGCACCGCCCGAAGGUGAGGCUCUGGGGCGGAGGCCGGCCCGCGGGGAGCCGGACCCAGGGAGAAGCCGCCGUCCAGCCUGCCCGCCGCUCCCGCUCCAGGGAGCGCGCCCGCCCUCCCCGCGGCCGGGGUGAGACCCCGCGCGGGUAACCCGGGUCGGGCGGAGCGAGGGCUCGGGAAUGAAUGAGCGUGUCCCUGUCACGUGGCUCUCGCGGAACUCGGAGGUGGAAGGCCAGGUGCUUUGUGAAGAUGAGAGUUGUAAAACAUGCCUCCCUCCCCCGGCCAUGGAGUGAAACGGGUGCACCUUGAAAAGCCGAAAAUGAUAAUGGAGAACCCCGCUCCAGGAAGAAACAGCUGAUACCUGUGAGCCACUGGAGGAGUUGAGACUUCUCUUUAAAAAGAAACAGAUGUCCAGCUGAGUGUUGGCUCUUCUGUACACAGUAUGUGAAGAUCUAAAAUGUUUUCAUGACAGAGCUGGAAUGACUGACUAUCCCUCUUUCCAAGGUUGGAAAUGCACACCAACGCUACAACUGCUGACAAGACAGAUUUCAACCCCUUGAAAUGAUACAGUGAACUACACUUGAACAGGCCUCCCCGCAUUUCUGUUCACAAUCAACUCCAUGAUUCUGUGGCCCAUCAAUGAAGAGAAUGAGGACCCUACACUGCCCCUCUCACCAGGAAGUAGCCUGAACAGACUUCAUCACCCAGUGUCAAAGAUUUGACUUUGUUAAUCUGUCAGGGAAAACAUAGAGUUUAACAAAUCUAACAGUGGGACAGCCAUUUUAGGCUGAGGCCAUUUCAGAAUAAAAUGGGCCAGUGCCUUUGCCUGGUGGAAAUUUACCAGAUGACAACCCCCAACCACAUUCCCAGAAGUUUGGGCAACCACUGACACCCAGCUGGAAUGUGAGGGGAUCAACCAGGCCAUGAAACCAGCCCAGUUGCUCUUCUUCUGCACAAACUCUUACUUGCUCCUCCUUGAAGCAAACUCAACCAAUUCUAUUCCUUAAUUCUGCUCUCCACUCAGUAAGUUCUUUUUAUAGUCACAUACCAGCCUCUAAUGCAACAACAUAGCAAGUAAUAAGGUAACUCUAGAUGUAUUUUGAUUCUUCUAGUGUUCUGUUCACUUAUUUUAGAAACAUGGUAUAAAAUGGUUUUCAUUUAUAUUUUGCUUUCUAAAUAGAAUUCAUUGGAUGGUACCUAUACACAAGUUAGACAGUAUAAAUAUGUUUCAUUAUAAGACCAUGUUGAUAUUACUAACUAUACUUAACAGAAUGUGUAAUGCUUACAGAAUGCUUAAUGUUGUUGACAAUAAGGUGUCAGAUAAAUAAGAAAAAAGUAAAUUAUUGUAUUUAUGUAAUUUACCAUAAAUUGAAAAUGGUAACUCUUUUUCUCUUAGCUGUUUUUAAUGGUGAUAGAAAAAGUAUAAUAGAAAAUGGAAAGUGUCAAACAACCUGUCACAUGAUGGUUAAGGUAGCUAGGUCUCACUUGGCUAGCUGUAUUGUUUGAAUUCUGGACCCAGCAGCUUGAAAUACAUCAGGCUUCUGUGUGUAAGUACCCA